This is a long non-coding RNA of Fukomys damarensis (Damara mole-rat), 1575 nucleotides long. RefSeq lists it as uncharacterized. The record is from RefSeq and is a predicted model, not a curated record. The transcript is spliced from 5 exons. Lineage: Eukaryota; Metazoa; Chordata; Mammalia; Rodentia; Bathyergidae.
GGAGCGGAGAAGCGGGAUGGGGUCGGGGAACCCUGGCUGAUUGGACCAAAGCCUGGGAAGACGCAUUAGCAUUGGCUGGAUCGUUGUGCAAUGCCGCGUUCAAGUUCCUGACAAUCAGCAGAGGCCCAUCCAGAUCCUAUUUCUCAGGCUCCCUGAACAUCUUCCCAAAGGAAACAAUAUGAUGGGAAUCACCUGGCCUGGCUCGCAGUGUGGCUUUAGGGAAACCCACUUCCCUCUAGAUCUAGAUUCGACAAUGACUAAGGCUCUGAGAUCAUACUCUGGCUGUCUGGGAGAAAACAUCAUCUGAAGAUUGCUUUUGCUCAGCUCAUAUAUUAAGGACAAGGAAGAAGAAGAAGCAGAGAUAGGAGAGAGAUUUGGAAUCCUUUACACAAAAGCCCAGCCACAGCCCAGCCUCUUCCAGGGAUGCUUCCAGAUGCCUCCAGCCUCCACCAAUCUUCUCUGCCUCCCCACACCCUCAGCCUGUCAUACCUAGUUUGGCCCUGGGUGCAGCCAGACAAUUAAUGGUUGAGUUACUGAGCAACUACCAAGAAACCAAGCAGUGGAUAAAGGAGAUGCCACCCAUGCCUCUAGCAAGAAAGGAUGAUGGUGAAUUUAAUUAAAGUCUGAGGCUAUUUUGAAAACUCACCUGCUCUAACACUUUGCUAUUCUGUACAUAAAAACUAUAUAUUCUUAGCCACAAAUCUGUAACCUGCUCCUGGAUAAGCCACUGCCUUCCGGACCUCCCUAUCAGGAAUCUUGAGAUUAAGACUGCUAAUUCCCUGGUUACUUACAUAGGCUCAGAUUGCUUUUGCUAGUACCUGCUAGACUUCUGAAAGUUAUGAAGCUUCUGCUCUGAACUCUGCUGUAAUCAAAUACUAAGAUGUCAGUGUCUCCUUCAUCUCUUGUUUCUCCAUAAUCUCUCCCUGGGUUACACCAUCCAGGCCCAGGGUGCCCAUGCCCAUUUUGAUACUGAGAAUGCCUGCACCAUUACCUCUGGUAGUGAUCUAUGUGGACUCCAGGCUCACACUAAUAUUAAUAGUACCACUGGAGCUAGAGGACCACUCAUUUGAGCCUGGGCAAUGUCCCAGGUCAAAUUUUGUCCUUAGGCUUACUACUCAGAGGGAGAUGUAAAAAAAACAAAGAUCCCCGAGCCUGCCCUAGAAAAUUCUAAAACCCCAAACCAGGACCCCUGCCUACCACGUGUUCCUGCAUGACUUAGUCAUUCUUUACUUGGAGGUCAGUGAAGGUUCACGCAUAUGGACUGUAUCUCAUACAUUCAAUGACAACCGAGUGAAUUAUGGGAAAGGACAUGUGUGAUAGAUACAGCUAAUCUUGUCAAUCAUGUUGUCAAUCAUGCUAUGGAAGACCCAAUAGGAGGAGUCCUAGACCCACCCCAACAUUUUAAAUUCUUAAACCCAAAAUCUUCAAGUGCUCAAGUUGUGCCAUUUUCCUUUAUGCUAGUUCAAGCCUGCUUGCUGAGUGUAUUGUCACCUGAUUAAAACUUUGCUACUUUUCCUUUACCAUUGUGUGCCAUGUCUGGUUCUCUGCUCAUCACGAGAACCCAGGAACCCAUCC